GAUCUUAGGGUCAUAAAGGAGUGAGUCAUAAAGCCCCCUGGGAGAAGAGCACUCCAGACAGAGAAAAUCACAAGUGAAGAGCCUCUGAAGACAUAUAAGGAUUAAGCAACUGCAAGGCUGUGUGUGUGGCUGACAUGAAGUGAGCUCUGGAGGAGAGGAGAGGAUGAGGCCAGGAGGUGUCUCAGGGGCCAGAUCCAGUAACUGCUGGGCCAUCCAUAGGCCCGUGGCUUUUAGUUUGAGAUGGGGAGCCACCAGUUGGUUCUGAAGAAAGGACUGAAAUGAGCUGACAUUGAACUACAGCUAUAUUGAUUGAUGCAGAGCCACAAAAAAGGACUGAGCACAAGAUCAAGUCUGCGGUAGCUGAGGAGUGCCCCCUACAGACUGACAUGCGCCACGCAAGCAGAUGACAAGGCAGGAGCAGAGCCGCAGAGUCUGCGGAUUCUCAGGCGUCAGUGAGGGAAGGUUCCCUGGGAUACAGAAGAGAAAGGAGACCAAAAGUCCAGUUCUAAAACACAAAGGGAUUUGAGAGUAGAAAGGAAGGUAAGAGAAUGAUGAUGGACAAAUAACUAACCUUUCUUUCAAUAUUGGAAAUGUCUAGCUCUUCUGAAAAUAUUCUUCUUCUAGUAGCAUUAUUUUCUGCUUAUAUCUCCAAAGACUUCUUUAUCUGAAGUGGGGGGAUUUCUCAUCAUUUGUUGUUGGAAAGGAAACUCUUGAAGGGCAGAACAAACAAUAAUCUCUCCUCUCCCCUGACUGAUUCCUCUGUUUCUCUGCUGAGACUCCUAAUAGGGGUGCUAAUUAGUGCCAAUUGUCAUCAUGUUUUGAGAUGUAGACACCUGUCUUCUAAUAACUGGACUGAGACCACUGACUCAUUUCACACAGACCAUCAAACAGACAUCAACUAGUAAUGGCCUAUAUUUACUACCAACCUGGGCUCAAGCCAAGGCCUUCUCCCACGUAACUGCGUUAGCAUUCUUGAUGACAAACAGCAAGUUCAAUAUGUGUUCACGCCCCUCCAAUAAAUAGACCAAUGGCGGUCA
Molecule: long non-coding RNA, 1037 nt
Filed under: Vulpes vulpes (red fox)
Lineage: Eukaryota; Metazoa; Chordata; Mammalia; Carnivora; Canidae
Description: lncRNA (ENSVVUG00000025894.1)
Source: RNAcentral